ACGGGAGGCAGCAGUGGGGGAUAUUGCACAAUGGAGGAAACUCUGAUGCAGCAACGCCGCGUGAGGGAAGAAGGUUUUCGGAUUGUAAACCUCUGUUUUUAGUGAAGAAACAAAUGACGGUAGCUAAAGAGGAAGCCACGGCUAACUACGUGCCAGCAGCCGCGGUAAUACGUAGGGAGCAAGCGUUAUCCGGAAUUACUGGGUGUAAAGGGAGUGUAGGCGGGACUGUAAGUCAGAUGUGAAAUAUGCCGGCUCAACUGGCAGACUGCAUUUGAAACUGCGGUUCUUGAGUGAAGUAGAGGUAAGCGGAAUUCCUAGUGUAGCGGUGAAAUGCGUAGAUAUUAGGAGGAACAUCAGUGGCGAAGGCGGCUUACUGGGCUUUAACUGACGCUGAGGCUCGAAAGCGUGGGGAGCAAACAGGAUUAGAUACCCUGGUA
Molecule: ribosomal RNA, 437 nt
Filed under: uncultured Ruminococcus sp.
Lineage: Bacteria; Bacillati; Bacillota; Clostridia; Eubacteriales; Oscillospiraceae
Description: partial 16S ribosomal RNA
Rfam family: Bacterial small subunit ribosomal RNA
Source: RNAcentral